This is a long non-coding RNA of Nerophis lumbriciformis (worm pipefish), 305 nucleotides long. RefSeq lists it as uncharacterized. NCBI's taxonomy places the organism in Eukaryota, Metazoa, Chordata, Actinopteri, Syngnathiformes, Syngnathidae. The record is from RefSeq and is a predicted model, not a curated record.
AGCUAGCCUUGGCUGGUGUAUUGCUUCCUGUGCCGUCCACAACUCAUACCUAGCUUCCGCGCUUCUGUCGCAGGAUGCACCGAUAUCAACAACCAACAAUACGCACAAGUUAUGAUCCUAUUUGAAUGUGUUGCGGGUCAAUUAAAAAAGAACACGCCCCGCAAAUGGGUUGCACUUUGGACAACCAUGCUUCAAACCAACCGGAGUAGCCAAUUGCAAUCAGAGCAGUGAUGCUAAAAAUUGAGGCCUCGGUGGGUCGAGCCUACAAUCUAACCUGCCCCUUUGGCGUGCACCACUCGCUCCGG